GAUGAACGCUGGCGGCGUGCCUAAUACAUGCAAGUCGAGCGAACAGACGAUGAGCUUGCUCCUCGGUCGUUAGCGGCGCACGUGUGAGUAACACGUGUAUAACCUACCUAUAAGACUGGGAUCACUUCGGGAAACCGGAGCUAAUCCCGUAUAAGAUAUUGAACCGCGUGGGUCAUUGGUAAGAUACGGUUGUGCUGGCACGUAUAGAUGGAUCCGCGCCGGAUUAGCUGGUUGUUAAGGUAACCGCUUACCAAGGCAACGAUGCGUAGCCGAAGUGAGAGGCUGAUAGGCCACACUGGAACUGGGACACCGUCAAGAGUACUGAGGGACGCACCAGUAGGGUACCUUACGCAACAGGCGAAAGUUUGACGGAGUGACGGCGCGUGAGUGAUGACGGUGUCCGGAUCGUAAAGCUCUCUUAUUAGGGAAGAACAAAUGUGUAAGUAAAUAUGCACGUCUUGACGGUAAUUAAUCAGAAAGCCCCGGCUAACUACGUG
Molecule: ribosomal RNA, 497 nt
Filed under: uncultured bacterium
Lineage: Bacteria
Description: partial 16S ribosomal RNA
Rfam family: Bacterial small subunit ribosomal RNA
Source: RNAcentral